Corvus hawaiiensis (hawaiian crow) is the source of this 71-nucleotide small nucleolar RNA. RefSeq annotates it as small nucleolar RNA SNORD66. NCBI's taxonomy places the organism in Eukaryota, Metazoa, Chordata, Aves, Passeriformes, Corvidae. The record is from RefSeq and is a predicted model, not a curated record. The transcript has a single exon.
UUCCUCUGGUGAACUCUUGUUAGUGCCACCUUCUUCACUGUGAUAAGAUAAAAGGAUUGGGAUUUGGGGAA